RNAcentral lists this long non-coding RNA (622 nucleotides) under Eucalyptus grandis. Its description in RNAcentral is "long non-coding RNA (EGRA_LNC001431)". The record is from RNAcentral. Lineage: Eukaryota; Viridiplantae; Streptophyta; Magnoliopsida; Myrtales; Myrtaceae.
UGCAAAUCGUUAGCCUGCAUACCCAACUCAAUAGGCAAUUCAACAUUUCUAUCUUGCCUUGACCUAACAGGAUGUCAUAAACUUGCUCAACUUCCAGACUCUAUAGGCUCCCUCGUGUCUCUACAGCGGUUGUUAUUGUCGGGAUGCUACUCGUUGAGACAAAUCCCAGACUCGAUUGGAAAGUUGACAUCAUUGACAGAGGUGCAUUUGAAAUCUACGGCCAUUGAAGAAUUACCUGAAUUAAUUGGUUCUUUGAAGGAGCUCAAGACUCUAGAUGCCUCUCAUUGCAAAUCGUUAGCCUGCAUACCCAAUUCAAUAGGCAAUUCAACAUCUCUGUCUUGUCUUGACCUAACAGAAUGCCAUAAACUUGCUCAACUUCCAGACACUAUAGGCUCCCUCGUGUCUCUACAGCGGUUGUUAUUGUCGGGAUGCCACUCGUUGAGACAAAUCCCAGACUCGAUUGGAAAGUUGACAUCAUUGACAGAGGUGCAUUUGAAAUCUACGGCCAUUGAAGAAUUACCUGAAUUAAUUGGUUCUUUGAAGGAGCUCAAGACUCUAGAUGCCUCUCAUUGCAAAUCGUUAGCCUGCAUACCCAAUUCAAUAGGCAAUUCAACAUCUUUGU